This 76-nucleotide transfer RNA is filed under the name Myxococcales bacterium. Its description in RNAcentral is "tRNA-Ala". The record is from RNAcentral. Lineage: Bacteria; Pseudomonadati; Myxococcota; Myxococcia; Myxococcales.
GGGGCGCGGGACUGCUAGGGGUGGUCACCUCCCUUGCAAGGAGACACGCAGCAGGGUUCAAAUCCCUGGCGCUCCA